AUGAGAUGUUGCAAGAUUGAUUUGAGUUGUUCUCAUUUAUGGUUUUCAGACUAUUCUAUCCUGAAGUAUUGGUUUAUUACCGAGGAAGCCUUAAACAGAGAAGCUGAAUGCAGUUUUUGUAUCUUUCGUCAAAGUCCUGAACGGUCCAAUGAAAAUCUUGUAUUGCAUGCUUCUUCGCCUAUGACCGGCAGAACACAAUGUAUAGGAUGUUUGUACAAAGAGCUACAAGGAGAGCACUCUUCAACGAUGGCAAUAUCCAAUGAAGCUGCAAAUUGUUGGGUGUAUGUAUAUGUGUACCGAAGUUGA
This 306-nucleotide ribosomal RNA is filed under the name Triticum aestivum (bread wheat). RNAcentral describes it as "partial small subunit ribosomal RNA". The record is from RNAcentral. Lineage: Eukaryota; Viridiplantae; Streptophyta; Magnoliopsida; Poales; Poaceae.